Molecule: ribosomal RNA, 497 nt
Filed under: uncultured bacterium
Lineage: Bacteria
Description: partial 16S ribosomal RNA
Rfam family: Bacterial small subunit ribosomal RNA
Source: RNAcentral
GACGAACGCUGGCGGCGUGCCUAAUACAUGCAAGUUGAGCGCUGAAGGUUGGUACUUGUACCAACUGGAUGAGCAGCGAACGGGUGAGUAACGCGUGGGGAAUCUGCCUUUGAGCGGGGGACAACAUUUGGAAACGAAUGCUAAUACCGCAUAAAAACUUUAAACACAAGUUUUAAGUUUGAAAGAUGCAAUUGCAUCACUCAAAGAUGAUCCCGCGUUGUAUUAGCUAGUUGGUGAGGUAAAGGCUCACCAAGGCGAUGAUACAUAGCCGACCUGAGAGGGUGAUCGGCCACAUUGGGACUGGGACACGGCCCAAACUCCUACGGGAGGCAGCAGUAGGGAAUCUUCGGCAAUGGACGAAAGUCUGACCGAGCAACGCCGCGUGAGUGAAGAAGGUUGUCGGAUCGUAAAACUCUGUUGGUAGAGAAGAACGUUGGUGAGAGUGGAAAGCUCAUCAAGUGACGGUAACUACCCAGAAAGGGACGGCUAACUACGUG